GACGUAGGGUGCAAGCGUUGUCCGGAAUUACUGGGCGUAAAGCGUGCGCAGGCGGCCUCUUAAGUCAGAUGUGAAAUCCCCGGGCUUAACCUGGGAACUGCGUUUGAAACUGGGAGGCUUGAGUGUGGAAGAGGGGGGUGGAAUUCCAGGUGUAGCAGUGAAAUGCGUAGAGAUCUGGAGGAACACCGAUGGCGAAGGCAGCCCCCUGGGCUGACACUGACGCUCAUGCACGAAAGCGUGGGGAGCAAACAGG
Molecule: ribosomal RNA, 253 nt
Filed under: uncultured bacterium
Lineage: Bacteria
Description: partial 16S ribosomal RNA
Rfam family: Bacterial small subunit ribosomal RNA
Source: RNAcentral